GACGAACGCUGGCGGCGUGCUUAACACAUGCAAGUCGAACGAAGUGGCGAACGGGUGAGUAACGCGUAAUCAACCUGCCCUUCUGCGGGGGAUAACAGUUUGAAACGACUGCUAAUACCGUAUACUGAAGGAGGGGCUUGCGUCUGAUUAGGUAGUUGGAGGGGUAACGGCCCCACAAGGCGAUGAUAAGUAGCCGGUCUGAGAGGAUGAACGGCCACAGUGGGGAUGAGACACGGGCCAAAAUCCUACGGGAGGCAGCAGGGGGGAAUCUUCCGAAAUGGACGAAAGUCUGACGGGGCAACGCCGGGGGAGUGAUGACGGCCUUUGGGUUGUAAAGCUCUGUUAAUCGGGACGCGGUACCGGAAUAGAAAGCCACGGCUAACUACGUGCCAGCAGCCGCGGUAAUAC
RNAcentral lists this ribosomal RNA (408 nucleotides) under uncultured bacterium. Its description in RNAcentral is "partial 16S ribosomal RNA". It matches the Rfam family "Bacterial small subunit ribosomal RNA", at positions 28 to 526 of the family's 1533-position model. The record is from RNAcentral.